Capsella rubella is the source of this 1796-nucleotide long non-coding RNA. RefSeq lists it as uncharacterized. The record is from RefSeq and is a predicted model, not a curated record. NCBI's taxonomy places the organism in Eukaryota, Viridiplantae, Streptophyta, Magnoliopsida, Brassicales, Brassicaceae. The transcript is spliced from 9 exons.
AAAAGUCUCUUGUAUGCGUUGAGACACAACGCAACGGUCAUGUAGGAUUCAAAUAUAGAAGACUGUUUCUGAACUAUAAGACGACGGAGGAGGAGGAACUCGAAUCGUGGAGGAAUAGAAGAUAGAUCGACGGAACCGGCGGAGGGGGACGAACUCGAAUCUUGAAGGAACUGAACCCAAACAUGUUCGUAAGUUACGUACAUCAGCAUUGAUCUUCCUGUUCUGUUGACUCUCUUUUGUUAUUAUUCAUAUAUAUAUAAAUAUAUAUAUCUGAUUAUGAACCCUAACAUGUUCGGAAGUUACGUUCAUCAUCUUUGAUCUUUCUUAUUCUGAAUUUGAACCUUAGGGUUUGAUUGAUUUUCUAUCAAGAAACUCAUAAUAAGUUUGUGGAUGUUAUGUUGGUAUCUUGAAUUACUUUGAAUGAUGUUAUCGGGAAGAUGAACGUCAAAGAAAGUGCUUGAUGGUCAAAAAGGAUGCGACAGUGGAGGAGUACGUCGUGGUGGUGUAUACGGUGGAGGAGGAUACACAGAGGUUUUGUGAUUAUCACUGUGCCUCUCUGUUCAGAUGGAGACUCUUGAGCGUGAUAUGUCAAGAAAAAUUACCUCUUUCCACCACAUAGACCAUAUCAUUUGUGUAUGCGGAACAACUAUUAUCCAUUUAUACCAGCCUCACAGAAAUUUACUUGAAAGAGCAAAGAUCAGAUUCAGUUUUAUGCCAAGAAGAUGAAACAAACUCCAUGGUUCUAAUGCUCUGUAAGUGACAGCUGAAUCUUACUUUAAUUCUUGUAUAUCUUUCUGGCCAUGUGUCCACUGAGGUGGUGAAGUCAAAACUUGAGAAACAAAGGCUAUGUUACUGCCUUGCUGGUAUGGAUAUUGUUGGAAGUCAAAGACUUCAAAGGAGGUCUGAACAAAAGAUCCUGGUAUGAUACUUAAAUUUUUAGUCUUUAGAAAGGAACAAAGAGCUGACAUGAUCCAUAUUUGUAGGAUAAAUUUAUCCAAGUUUGAGGAACUUCAUCACAAACUCAAGAACUAAAAGAUAUUCUUUCGAUUGUCUUCUCUCACCCUUAAUAUCAGUAGUCCACGGUGCUACGAAGUUUUCAUUUCAUUAGCUAAGUGAGAUAUUACCCAAAAGUAAUGAACAUGUGUUUCUUCUUGCUAGACACUAUUUCCAAGUCUGAGGAGGACAAGGAGAAGCUCUAUAUAAGAUAUGAGCAACUAAAUACCUGAAUAGGAGAGGUUCUACAAAGAAAAGCUUGCUCAGUUGGAAGAAUCACUCAAGUGCAAUCCCUAGCUAAGAAAGAUGAAGUUCUAGAGAAAAGACAAAAACUGGAGCACGAAACAAAUUUGUGGUCUAUUGCAACAGCUGAAAUGUAACUAUUUCUUAGUUAGGAGGACAAUGAGAGACUAUAUGUGAAAAGGAACAACUAAGGAAAAGGAGAAGACAAUGAUAUCAUGAGAGGUUCUACACAGAAGAGCUUCCUCAAUUAGAAGAAUCACUAAGACGAAUUGUGAGUACAUGUUGCAAAGAUGAAUGAAGAAGAAUGGAAGAACUUUUCUGCAGAACAAAAGGAUCGGUAAGAAAUGAGUUCUUGUCCCAUAUCAAUUUUGUGAAGUAAUGAAAAGUUGAUAAACAAAUAUCAAACUUUUUUGCAUAUUAUUGAACUGGGAGAUAUACAUAUUGUAAAGGAUAUGAGAAUUAAGGAUCUAAUUGUAAUUAAGAUAGUCCUAGGGUUCUCAUUGUAUCCUAUAUAUAUUGUACACAUUACAACUAAUAAAAUAUCACUCAUAUUAUCUAUA